Molecule: ribosomal RNA, 322 nt
Filed under: uncultured Sandonidae
Lineage: Eukaryota; Cercozoa; Glissomonadida; Viridiraptoridae
Description: SSU rRNA
Rfam family: Eukaryotic small subunit ribosomal RNA (bases 112-322)
Source: RNAcentral
GAUUUCUGGCUUGAAACAUUUUGCCGGCCACGGUUUCGUGUGUUAGUGCUUGAUGUUCUGGCCAUCCUUCCAAUUGCUAUUGGCCUUUCUUCACUGAUUGGUCAGUAGUAUUGGAUCUUUUACUUUGAAAAAAUUAGAGUGUUUCAAGCAGGCUUUAUGCUAUGAAUACAUUAGCAUGGAAUAAUAAUUUAGGACUUCGGUUCUAUUUUGUUGGUUUCUAGGACUGAAGUAAUGAUUGAUAGGGAUAGUUGGGGGUGCUAGUAUUCAGCGGCCAGAGGUGAAAUUCUCGGAUUCGCUGAAGACUAACUUAUGCGAAAGCAUU